This 78-nucleotide small nucleolar RNA is filed under the name Stomoxys calcitrans (stable fly). RNAcentral's name for it is "small nucleolar RNA Me28S-Cm2645". It matches the Rfam family "Small nucleolar RNA Me28S-Cm2645". Rfam says of the family: Me28S-Cm2645 is a member of the C/D class of snoRNA which contain the C (UGAUGA) and D (CUGA) box motifs. This family directs 2'-O-methylation of 28S C-2645. The record is from RNAcentral. Lineage: Eukaryota; Metazoa; Arthropoda; Insecta; Diptera; Muscidae.
AUUUCAAUGAUGACAUUCUUGAUAGGGACAUCUGAUAUCAAAUGACUGAUUUAUCAUUUUUGAAAACUUCUGAUUAUU